Molecule: long non-coding RNA, 702 nt
Organism: Amphimedon queenslandica
Lineage: Eukaryota; Metazoa; Porifera; Demospongiae; Haplosclerida; Niphatidae
Exons: 2
Source: RefSeq, a predicted model, not a curated record
UACAUAUACAUGUACUUAUUUAUUUAUUUAUUUAUUUUAUUUCAGAUAUCUAACAAAUACGACAUCCCUGAUGAGAUGAUUCACUUCAUCUACAAGAAGACAAAGAAAGGGCUGAUAGUCCGAUUUGACGAUGAGCUAGUGACACGAUUUGAAGACGAAGAUGACUUCAUUAUUGAUCUUGAUUUCGACAAUCAAAAAGGUCAUUUUGAUCUCUACAUCAGAUAUUAGCUUUAUAACAGUGUGUCUUCAAACCACCAUCUUUCAAUUCAUCAUCUACUCCUGUAAAUAAGUUGAGACUUCUGCCCUACCUCCCUCUCUCUCUCUCUCUCCCACGGUCUCUAUUCUUCUUCUUCAUGACUAUGCACCUGUUGAUUGAUUCUUCCGUUUUUGUGAAGUCUUUUAAACACCACCGCAUGUAUUAUUAAUUGACAAGAGGCGAGACCACACCCCUCACUAAUUAACCCUCCCUCUUCACAUCUCCAUUUUAUGGAGAUUUUUAAUAUUAUUAUCAUUAUUAUUAUUAUUAUUAUUUUAUUAUUGGUACAUGUGAUAAACAGAAUUUAUUUUUCUGUUUCAAACUCCUCCCCCUUCUCUCUCCCUUUCCCAAUCUCUUGUUCAUCUACUUACACUUCAUUUGCACACUAUAAGGAACAUAAUAUUAUAUUAAUUAUAAUUAUUGUUGCUUUAAAAUUAUUACAUAUA